AGAGAGGAGGACUCUUGUGAGAACACUUUCUCUAUGUGAGAACACUUUUUUAUGUGAGAACAAAUUUGAACCUUUGGAUCUAAUCUAACCAUCCUAAAUACACUUAUGAGUAAUGACAUUUUUGUAAUUUAGGUUUAUCCUUACUCCCCUUCCUUCUUCCCACAAACUUUAGCUUUCACGUCAUUUGUAAUUUAGCUUUCUCUCUGUAGGUUUUACACAACUUUCUCUCUCCUCUAUGGCUUCAUUCAUGGAGUAAUUUUCAAAGUUUUAGUUCGAUUUUUUGCAGAUUCCACACUAUUCUUUCCAUAAUUCAACAGAUAUGAAAGUUGGAUCUUAUUCAUCAGCUCUUGAAUCAGAUGUAGUUGUGAAUAGUGAUCAAUCAGUUCCUAUAGAUGUAGUUACGCAUAACUGAAGAUAUUGAAUCAGGUGAAAUUCCUUUAUUUAUUAUUUAUAGUCUUUAAGAUCAUAUUCUUUAUUAUUUAUAUAAGAUCAUUUUACCUUAAGGAUAUUAUUAUUCUAAUAAUAAUUAUGAUAUGUAUAUUAAAUAUAUAUGUUGGGAAAUAUUAUCUAUGUUUCUUUGCGGCAACAACUUUUUCUAAUGCAAAUAUGUGUCGUACUCCUCAAGUAGUUCCCAUGUUAAGUCCUGGAGGGACAAGAUUUGGAUUCCUUGUUGCCCCAAUGAGUUGAUACCUUUUAUAGGGAUGAAAUUUUCUAGUACCGAUGAGGGUUUAGCUUUCUAUAAAGCAUAUGCAGCUGUUGCUGGUUUUAAUACUAGGAAAUCAACCAUUACCAAAAAGAGAAAAGAGAAUAUUGUGGCUUUUCAAUAUAUUGUAUGCAAUAAAGCCGACUAUAAGGAGAAACGAAAGUCAAAGGUUGAUGAUGUUUCCAAGGGUAAAGAGGAUGAAACUAAAGAAGUUAAAACUAGUAGAAGAAGGUUGAUCACUCGUGUUGGUUGCAAUGCUUAAAUGGUUUUGAAAUAUUGUAAUGGUGGAAGUUACAUUGUUACAAUAUUUCGAGAGGCUCAUAAUCAUCCUCUUUACGCUCCAAGUUGUAAUGAAUUUCAAAGAAGGGAGAAAAAUGAACAUUCUACACCAGAAGAUGAUUGUUUAUAAUUCAAAGGUGAACAUUGGUCCUGUGAAAACAUAUAGAAUGAUGAAGGAAUAUGUUGGUGGAUAUGAAAGGUUUGUGAAUCAUGUCAAUGCUCUUUGGUGUAAUCCCUUUGAAUUCCAUAUUCGAAGCUGCGAUCCAUCCUACAUUGGGGAAUGAAGAGAAGCCCCACUAGGGCUCCAACUCGCCUCACCUGAUUUAUUCCGAGUGUAUUACCAGUCAGAGAGGGGGAGCGCUUCCGGUCCGGUCCGAUUUUGGACCGGUUGGACCGGAAUUUGUAUUUUUUAAUUCAAAAAAAAUCUUUCUUAAUAAGGUUUAAACAUUUUAACAAUUCAAUAGAUUAAAAACUAAUAAUACGAAAAGCAAUAAUCUCAAAGGCAAUAAAGAUGAGGUUUUAACUUUAUAACUUUUCUCAAUUUUUAACUUUUAUUAACAUUCAGACCUCCUUGUACAACAAAAAAAUCCGGUCCUCCGGUCUGGACCGGAGAAUUUUAGGUUUGGACCUGACCGGACUGGAGAACCGGAAUCCCAAGUUUUCAUGAACCGGAGACCGGAUCGGAAUUUUUCGGUCCAGUCUGGUCUCGGUCAAAAUUUCAGUUCCGUUCCAACACUGCACACCCCUACCGGACGUGCCUUUGCCAGCUUUUUAGAAAAUGUGUUGUAAAAGAUUUCUUUUAUCCUUUAAUUCCAGAAAAUAUGAUUUUACGGGAUAAAAUCUGAUUUUAACUAUAAAAAAUAUCUUUUCAAAAUAUUUAUUUAUUAAAAUAAAUCAAGUAAUUAUUGUUAAAAAAUUGAUUGGACUUGUCAAAGAAUUGAGCUCAAAAUAAAAUUAUAUAUCAUGAAUAAUUAAUUGCCCUUUAAAAUAGGACUUUAACGCUUUUUGAAAUGAAUGACUUUUUAGAUUGCUAUGCCCUUGAACAAGACUAAUUAAGACCAUUUUAUGUUUCAUCAUCGGAUCCUUAAAUGGGCAGAUACGAUUAUGUGUCUACACCCACAUGCUAUUAAUAUUCUUCAUUCUUGGAGGUAAAAAACUGACUUCCUAAAUUCAGUUUGCUUCCAGAGAAUUGAGUUCAUUCUGUGUUGUUAUUAUUCAUCCUUCAUCUUAAGAUGCUUCUCCAAAGUGCAUUCGCUAUCUAACCUUCAACACAUUGUUUAGAGUAGUGAGGUACUCUUCAUUGUUUUCCUUGAUUGUUUGAGGUCUUGCAUAGCAACACGACUAACAAAAGUGAUACGUUCUUGAUUAUUCUUACUUGGAAUGUCAUAUACAUAGUUCUUGAAUCUACACGGAACCUCCUUGCCCCUAAUAGACCUUCUUAGACUUGUCUUUUCUACUUUAUUAUGGCUGAUAGGAUGAUUCCUUAUUAUUAACAUCACUAAGAUUUUCAAGUUGUAUUGGCUUAAUUUCACCUGCUUUCUAGUCAUCUAACUCAUUCAAAAUGUUAGAUAAAUCAUCAAAAGAUAUGUCACCUCCAGAGUUCGAUAAAGAGUUUCUUGUGUCCAUCUCAAAAGAAGAGUUCUCGUUUUCCUUCCUUAGAAGAAAGGGAGGUACUUUUUCUUAGAUACAACAUCCCUACUCACAAACACUUGUGGAAAAAAUCUUAAAUGACACAAGUAAACUGAUCCAGUUCUUUUAAAAUCGUAUCAGUUAAUGUUGGUUUUUUGGAGGGAAAUAUGAUUUAAUUAACUGAUGGAGUCUAUAUAAGGAAUUGGAUCAGUCGAGCUUGGUCUUUUAUAUAAACUUGCGACCCACUACAUUCUCUCCACUCAAACUCGUUCACUCUCAUCCUCCCACUCCUUUCAUCCCCCCCUCUAACAAACCCUAACCAUACAUCUCUUACCCGCCCUCCUCCAUCUAACAAACCCAACCUUCCCUCUCUCAUUCUCUCUCCUCUGCCAUCCUCCCCCUCCUUUCUCACCAAUCUAUCGCUCAACCACCAUCUUAAUUUCCACCACCCAUGCUCCAAUUUUCAACGAAGAACAAAGGCUUGUCGCUAUGCUGCGUAACUACCACCCCAAUCUCGAAGCAUGAUUUUUUCUCCGUCACAAGACUGACUCGUCAUAGAGGCGAAUUUUGAAAUUAAACUCGAUUCCACCAAUUCUUUGCUCGUUUGGAUCUAGGGUUCCAAGUGUUUCAUUUUUUAUUAAUAAUUUCAAUAUUUUAAUUUAGAUAGUUUAUUAAUUCAUGUUUUUACGAUUUAUUUCGAAAGUAUUUUAUUUUAAUAAUUUCAAGAUUGUAAUUGUUUUCUAAUUUCGCUAGUUAUUAUUUUUUUAUUUUCUGGUCCAUUUUUGGUUUUAUGUGUGUGUAAUUAUUUUUGUAAUUGCUGGUUAUUUUUGUGUUUAAUUCAUGUAAUUGUUUGUGUAAUAUUUGGUUAUUAAUCCGUGUAAUAAUGUUUAGUUUCAUAUUUAUUUGGAUUUGGAUCCUUGUGUGUGUUGGAAUUGAGUUGGAACUAUGUUGGAAUGUCUCCUCUAUGCACAUUGUA
This is a long non-coding RNA of Beta vulgaris subsp. vulgaris (sugar beet), 3587 nucleotides long. RefSeq lists it as uncharacterized. The transcript is spliced from 4 exons. The record is from RefSeq and is a predicted model, not a curated record. NCBI's taxonomy places the organism in Eukaryota, Viridiplantae, Streptophyta, Magnoliopsida, Caryophyllales, Amaranthaceae.